AAAAAAUCCCGGUGCUGGAAUCCCUAUUACUCUCUAUGCAAAUGCCCUAGUACUAAGCCCUCAUUUUGCAACAGUCAUACUAUAUAACCCCAAACAACCUUGAGCCAGAAGUCUUCUGCAGUUAAGUCCCAAGGGUUGAGGUUGUACGUGUGCACCACCAUGCCAAGGGUUGAGGUUGUACGUGUGCACCACCAUGCCAAGGGUUGAGGUUGUACGUGUGCACCACCAUGCCAAGCUCUGGAACAGCUUUCGUGUCCUGGGUUGAGCCGGAUGAGUGAAAUACCUAGCAUGAGAAAAUAGGUGGAUCUGAUGACAGAUUCACCCAGGGCCUUCUCUAAUCUGGUUCCUGUUCACCUAGCCACCUUCAGUCUUUGCUCAUGCUCAAUACAAAUC
Non-coding RNA from Myodes glareolus (Bank vole), 393 nucleotides. NCBI's taxonomy places the organism in Eukaryota, Metazoa, Chordata, Mammalia, Rodentia, Cricetidae. The record is from RefSeq and is a predicted model, not a curated record.